Molecule: ribosomal RNA, 490 nt
Filed under: uncultured bacterium
Lineage: Bacteria
Description: partial 16S ribosomal RNA
Rfam family: Bacterial small subunit ribosomal RNA
Source: RNAcentral
AUUGAACGCUGGCGGCAGGCCUAACACGUGCCAGUCGAACGGUAACAGGAAGCAGCUUGCUGCUUCGCUGACGAGUGGCGGACGGGUGAGUAAUGUCUGGGAAGCUGCCUGAUGGAGGGGGAUAACUACUGGAAACGGUAGCUAAUACCGCAUAAUGUCGCAAGACCAAAGAGGGGGACCUUCGGGCCUCUUGCCAUCGGAUGUGCCCAGAUGGGAUUAGCUUGUUGGUGGGGUAACGGCUCACCAAGGCGACGAUCCCUAGCUGGUCUGAGAGGAUGACCAGCCACACUGGAACUGAGACACGGUCCAGACUCCUACGGGAGGCAGCAGUGGGGAAUAUUGCACAAUGGGCGCAAGCCUGAUGCAGCCAUGCCGCGUGUAUGAAGAAGGCCUUCGGGUUGUAAAGUACUUUCAGCGGGGAGGAAGGGAGUAAAGUUAAUACCUUUGCUCAUUGACGUUACCCGCAGAAGAAGCACCGGCUAACUCCGUG